AUUGAACGCUGGCGGCAUGCCUUACACAUGCAAGUCGAACGGUAACAGGUCUUCGGAUGCUGACGAGUGGCGAACGGGUGAGUAAUACAUCGGAACGUGCCUAGUAGUGGGGGAUAACUACUCGAAAGAGUGGCUAAUACCGCAUGAGAUCUACGGAUGAAAGCAGGGGAUCGCAAGACCUUGUGCUACUAGAGCGGCCGAUGGCAGAUUAGGUAGUUGGUGGGAUAAAAGCUUACCAAGCCGACGAUCUGUAGCUGGUCUGAGAGGACGAUCAGCCACACUGGGACUGAGACACGGCCCAGACUCCUACGGGAGGCAGCAGUGGGGGAUUUUGGACAAUGGGCGCAAGCCUGAUCCAGCAAUGCCGCGUGCAGGAUGAAGGCCUUCGGGUUGUAAACUGCUUUUGUACGGAACGAAAAGCCCUGGGUUAAUACCCUGGGGUCAUGACGGUACCGUAAGAAUAAGCACCGGCUAACUACGUGCCAGCCGCCGCCGUAA
RNAcentral lists this ribosomal RNA (498 nucleotides) under uncultured bacterium. RNAcentral describes it as "partial 16S ribosomal RNA". It matches the Rfam family "Bacterial small subunit ribosomal RNA", at positions 30 to 523 of the family's 1533-position model. The record is from RNAcentral.